CAGUGGGAGGCAGACCCACCGAGGCAAAAGUCAGAAGCCUCGUAGCUUGGAUAGCGGGGAGGAGGGAAAUCGAAUUUCCGAAGCCUAUCGACAAAGCCAUCUUUCAGGAUGGUGAGCAAGUCAUCGGGCCGUAACGAAA
Non-coding RNA from Acidobacteria bacterium 13_2_20CM_2_57_6, 139 nucleotides. Lineage: Bacteria; Pseudomonadati; Acidobacteriota. The record is from Rfam.